ACCUGACUGCUAUCGGAUUGAUACUAAGCCAUGCGAGUCUUUGUAGUAAUACAAGGCAUACGGCUCAGUAACGCGUAGUCAACCUACCCUAUGGACAAGAAUAAUCUCGGGAAACUGAGCAUAAUUCUUGAUAGAUCAUAAUGCCUGGAAUGGUUUAUGGUUAAAAUGAUUCGUCGCCAUAGGAUGGGACUGCGGCCUAUCAGCUUGUUGGUGAGGUAAUGGCCCACCAAGGCGAUUACAGGUACGGGCUCUGAGAGGAGAAGCCCGGAGAUGGGUACUGAGACAAGGACCCAGGCCCUAUGGGGCGCAGCAGGCGAGAAAACUUUGCAAUGUGCGAAAGCACGACAAGGUUAGUCCGAGUGAUUUCUGCUAAAGAGAUCUUUUGCUAGUUAUAAAACCACUAGUGAAUAAGGGGUGGGCAAGUUCUGGUGUCAGCCGCCGCGGUAAAACCAGCACCUCAAGUGGUCAGGAUGAUUAUUGGGCCUAAAGCAUCCGUAGCCGGCUCUGUAAGUUUUCGGUUAAAUCCAUAUGCUCAACGUAUGGGCUGCCGAAAAUACUGCAGAGAUAGGGAGUGGGAGAGGUAGACGGUACUCGGUAGGAAGGGGUAAAAUCCUUUGAUCUAUCGAUGACCACCUGUGGCGAAGGCGGUCUACCAGAACACGUUCGACGGUGAGGGAUGAAAGCUGGGGGAGCAAACCGGAUUAGAUACCCGGGUAGUCCCAGCUGUAAACGAUGCAGACUCGAUGAUGCAUUGGCAUAUAGCCAGUGCAGUGUCGCAGGGAAGCCGUUAAGUCUGCCGCCUGGGAAGUACGUACGCAAGUAUGAAACAUAAAGGAAUUGGCGGGGGAGCACCACAAGGGGUGAAGCCUGCGGUUC
Molecule: ribosomal RNA, 876 nt
Filed under: uncultured crenarchaeote
Lineage: Archaea; Thermoproteati; Thermoproteota
Description: bacterial SSU rRNA
Rfam family: Archaeal small subunit ribosomal RNA
Source: RNAcentral